UUAAAUGCAAUGAUGGGAAUAAGUAAGCUCGAUUGGAUUGCGUACAGAGAGCCGGUGGUUGCUGCGAACCGGUGCAAACAACGAUGCUGAAUGGGCCCCGGAGCCUAUGAACGGAAACUGGCUGCACGAGCAGCCGAAGAUGUUUGUACGGACGUUCCCCGUUACGGAGCAACAAGGCUUGUGGGAUAAUAAUACGCUUAGAUUGUAUAACAAAGCGUACCAUAAGCGAAUUAGGGUGGCACCACGGUCCCUCGUCCCUUGC
RNAcentral lists this non-coding RNA (262 nucleotides) under Paenibacillus sp. RNAcentral's name for it is "T-box sequence". It matches the Rfam family "T-box leader". Rfam says of the family: Uncharged tRNA acts as the effector for transcription antitermination of genes in the T-box leader family. T-boxes are found upstream of many aminoacyl-tRNA synthetase genes and some amino acid biosynthetic genes usually in Gram-positive bacteria. The record is from RNAcentral. Lineage: Bacteria; Bacillati; Bacillota; Bacilli; Caryophanales; Paenibacillaceae.